UACGGGGGGGGUAAGCGUUGUUCGGAAUUACUGGGCGUAAAGGGCUCGUAGGCGGCCAACUAAGUCAUACGUGAAAUCCCUCAGCUUAACUGGGGAACUGCGUGUGAUACUGGAUGGCUUGGAUUUGGGAGAGGGAUGCGGAAUUCCAGGUGUAGCGGUGAAAUGCGUAGAUAUCUGGAGGAACACCGGUGGCGAAGGCGGCAUCCUGGACCAAUAUUGACGCUGGGGAGCGAAAGCCAGGGGAGCAAACGGG
RNAcentral lists this ribosomal RNA (253 nucleotides) under uncultured bacterium. RNAcentral's name for it is "partial 16S ribosomal RNA". It matches the Rfam family "Bacterial small subunit ribosomal RNA", at positions 524 to 776 of the family's 1533-position model. The record is from RNAcentral.